GGAGAUUUCCUUCACGUUCCUGGAGCUUCUUAUUAAAAUUCUGAAAGUGCAAAUCAGCACCAGUCCACAGGAGAGCCCACACAGCUGCAAGGAGUCUCCUCUCCUCUCUCCCCCAUCCAGAGGGAGCCAGAGCACUGCUCUGCCGGAGAAGCAGUCCCUGCCGCCAUCCGCCAUCCGGAGCAGAGCCCCUGGAGGCUUUGGCUCUUUGCCCCUGCCCUGGGAGAAGCAAGGGCUCUUCUCUCACCCAAGCUGAGGCUGUUUCCCAGGCUGCUUGCCCUGAACACCUCCACCUCUGCCCUUUGCCAACGACCCCUCUUCUUGGCCCACGGAGCCUGCGGAUCUGGAAGCUCAGGGGAAGGAUAAGGAAAGGCUCACGACAGAAUGGCCCUUCGUGGAGCGCUCGAGCUGGAGAAAUAAGAAUGGCACGGAUGGAUCCUGCAGUAUCUCCUGGGAACCAUGAUGCUUUCUGCUGUGUUAGGAAGGCCUGUGCCACAAGACGAGGUAUGGAGAGGCCCCUUGGCUCCUCAAAGGAGAAAACAGGAUGGUGUGUAAGACAGAAAUGUAAGUCACCAUUCAUGCCACAUUCCCCAGGUUUCCUAAGUGUUUGAAUGGAGGAUUUGACUGCUUCAGGGUCAAAUGUCCCCAGUGCUAGGGCUAGGAGAUUAAGGACAUCAGACAGCUGCAGCAAGGAGGGGAAGAAAAGGCAGAUCCCUGCCUCCAUUGCAGGGCUGGCGCAAGUGCAUAGUUAGAGGAUCCAAGU
This is a long non-coding RNA of Corvus hawaiiensis (hawaiian crow), 760 nucleotides long. RefSeq lists it as uncharacterized. Lineage: Eukaryota; Metazoa; Chordata; Aves; Passeriformes; Corvidae. The transcript has 3 exons. The record is from RefSeq and is a predicted model, not a curated record.